AGAGUUAGGAUAUUACAGACAGAGCCUCUCAAGCAAGAAAAAGCAAGUUUACUUCUG
RNAcentral lists this transfer RNA (57 nucleotides) under Niviventer confucianus (Chinese white-bellied rat). RNAcentral's name for it is "tRNA-Trp". The record is from RNAcentral. Lineage: Eukaryota; Metazoa; Chordata; Mammalia; Rodentia; Muridae.